This 139-nucleotide small nucleolar RNA is filed under the name Dichanthelium oligosanthes. RNAcentral describes it as "Small nucleolar RNA Z247". It matches the Rfam family "Small nucleolar RNA Z247". From Rfam's summary of the family: Z247 is a member of the C/D class of snoRNA which contain the C (UGAUGA) and D (CUGA) box motifs. Most of the members of the box C/D family function in directing site-specific 2'-O-methylation of substrate RNAs. The record is from Rfam by way of RNAcentral. Lineage: Eukaryota; Viridiplantae; Streptophyta; Magnoliopsida; Poales; Poaceae.
CCUCUCGAAGAUGAUGAAUUGGUGGAGUACAUCUUCACCAGGCUAGAUGACGAGUAUGACUCGUUGGUCUCCGCUGUUCUUGCUCGAUCUGAUAUGAUCUCAGUAAGCGAGCCGUACUCCCAGAUGCUUGCUUUUGAGA